This is a long non-coding RNA of Oncorhynchus tshawytscha (Chinook salmon), 495 nucleotides long. The record is from Ensembl. Lineage: Eukaryota; Metazoa; Chordata; Actinopteri; Salmoniformes; Salmonidae.
CGUGAUAACUCCACAGCCAGUGAUAAUCCUUAAGAGUCUCAUAUGAGUCGUGAUAACUCCACAGCCAGUGAUAAUCCUUAAGAGUCUCAUAUGAGUCUCGUGAUAACUCCACAGCCGGUGGUAAUCCUUAAGAGUCUCAUACGAGUCGUGAUAACUCCACAGCCAGUGAUAAUCCUUAAGAGUCUCAUAUGAGUCUCGUGAUAACUCCACAGCCGGUGGUAAUCCUUAAGAGUCUCAUAUGAGUCGUGAUAACUCCACAGCCGGUGGUAAUCCUGAAGAGUCUCAUACGAGUCGUGAUAACUCCACAGCCAGUGAUAAUCCUUAAGAGUCUCAUAUGAGUCGUGAUAACUCCACAGCCAGUGAUAAUCCUUAAGAGUCUCAUAUGAGUCGUGAUAACUCCACAGCCAGUGAUAAUCCUUAAGAGUCUGAUAUGAGUCGUGAUAACUCCACAGCCAGUGAUAAUCCUUAAGAGUCUGAUAUGAGUCGUGAUAACUC